This 191-nucleotide unclassified non-coding RNA is filed under the name Rhodotorula toruloides. The record is from RNAcentral. Lineage: Eukaryota; Fungi; Basidiomycota; Microbotryomycetes; Sporidiobolales; Sporidiobolaceae.
UGGCCUCGCUCCCCAGAUCCCCGAGGACCUCUACUGCCUCAUCAAGAAGGCCGUCCAGGUUCGCAAGCACCUCGAGCGCAACCGCAACGACAAGGACUCCAAGUUCCGCCUUAUCUUGAUUGAGUCCCGCAUCCACCGUCUUGCGAGGUACUACCGCACCAAGGGCCAGCUUGCGCCGACUUUCAAGUACG